This 624-nucleotide long non-coding RNA is filed under the name Homo sapiens (human). RNAcentral's name for it is "HSALNT0329285". Lineage: Eukaryota; Metazoa; Chordata; Mammalia; Primates; Hominidae. The record is from RNAcentral.
AGACCUGAGAGAAGCAAGGCUGCAGAGAAACUGUAGCCAUCACCAAACAACAAAUCAAAGGGAAGUGUCUCAGGAGAGAUUUCUAAUUAUCAUACAUUUGUCCUUGCAGCCAAACCAGGAUGCAGUGGAAAUGGUGCCUUUGGCACUAGCAUCUUAGGUCACAAAAUCAGAAUGAGUUCUUGGCCUUGGCUGUUGAGGACAGAACGUCCUGAGCCAAAUGGGACAGUGGCUGAGUGAGGACACCAAACCUAUUCUUAGGAGUUGUCUUGAAAUUCUUACUAACUUUUGAACGUGGAACCCUACAUCUUCGUUUUGUACUGGUCCCCACAUAUUUUAUAGCUGAUCUGAAGGAGGAGAGAGAGAUGAUGGGGGAUGAAGGGUAUGGAAUUGUAUGCUAUGGCUGCCUGCUGUCGAAGUUCUCCAGGUCCAGAGAGGAUUUAAGUUGCUGGAAUAAUCCACCCAGUCUUCGAGAUGUGAUUAUAUAAUUGAUGGUAUGUGGAUAUCACUGAUCACAAAACACAAUAAAGGACCUAAGGCAACAUCUUUGUUCUUUCUCAAUGUGGGGAAAAUGUUUUUGUUCUACUUGGAUCGGUGGCUCACGCCUAUAAUCCCAGCACUUUGGGA